GUGCUCACUUCAGCAACACAUAAACUAAAAUUAGAACGAUACAGAGAAGAUUAGCAUAGCCCCACGCAAAGAUGACACAAAUUUGUGACGUGUUCCUUAUUUUG
Small nuclear RNA from Phyllostomus discolor (pale spear-nosed bat), 104 nucleotides. The record is from RefSeq and is a predicted model, not a curated record. NCBI's taxonomy places the organism in Eukaryota, Metazoa, Chordata, Mammalia, Chiroptera, Phyllostomidae.